This 31-nucleotide non-coding RNA is filed under the name Homo sapiens (human). The record is from RNAcentral. Lineage: Eukaryota; Metazoa; Chordata; Mammalia; Primates; Hominidae.
UGUGACUCACUACAUUCCACUCCUUGUUGGG